Long non-coding RNA from Mus pahari (shrew mouse), 4644 nucleotides. RefSeq lists it as uncharacterized. The record is from RefSeq and is a predicted model, not a curated record. The transcript is spliced from 2 exons. NCBI's taxonomy places the organism in Eukaryota, Metazoa, Chordata, Mammalia, Rodentia, Muridae.
CGGGGGGCAGGGGGUGUGUGCCAAACUCCUUCUUUGCAGCGUAGAAAGCUUCUGAAUUUCAAGCAGAAAGUGGAAGGAGCUCCACAGAGCAAUUUUCCUCUUUCCUUGGGCUGCGUGUGCAGAGCGUAGACAAUGAAAAUCUCCGCCCCCUCCCCCAUGCUCUCUAGUCUACAAGAUUUUUUUUCUUUCCUUCACAACGAUGGAAGCUAUGUAAAAUCAAAUACACAGAGAUGUACUUUUUUUUUUUAAGGCACAGACUAACAAACCAAAGGACCUGACCACGGAUUAUCCAAGAACGCACCUGCUGGGGAGCGCUCUGGGGUCUCCGCACAAAACCUGCUCUUGAGCCCUUUGGCUUUCUUCAAGCGAGCGCAGUCCGUCCAUCCCCCCCUGGCCCACCCAGCCGCAAGGGAUGCUGUGAAAAGAGCCGCUGCUUGCCGCCUCCGGCCUGCCGUCCAGAGGGCUCCGCCCGUAGAGGUCAACUCCCCUCAUUCUUCUUUCCAUCUUGCCCUCCCUCCGCCGAGCCCAGACUCGGAUCUCCUCCCGACUCCCGACUCCCGCCGCAGUCAGAGAGAGCACAUCUGCUGCGCUGCCCUUAAAUCUACGCCCAGAGCGGGGCUCAGACCCGAUCUCUGCUCUCCAGAGCCAGAGGAAGCUGGAGCAAGCAGUCUUUUCUCUUCGCAGUAAAAUCAUAGCCAGACCAGAUGGGCCCCAGCUCUCCCGGGACUCGGCAGGUGCUGUUGAGUUAAUUUUUCCGCAAUACAAAGAAGGAGGACCCAGCCGGCCUGGGAUUCUGAUCUUUUCCAAAAUUUCCCAACCAAAAUCGGUCUAUCAAAGGCGUAUACGUGUGUUUGUCGGACAUACAAACAUGCAUGAUUAUAUCCGCUUUUUCUGCUAGAUCUCUGGCAACAGGGGAUGAGUGACAAAGGUUUCUGCAGCAGAACACUCAUGGAGUGGUUCUUAAAGACUUGCCUUUCCUUACAAAUGUCUUAGGACGGGAUUCAGGGCGAACCAACUCAGUUAAUUGCCUUCAGUAAAAUAACACGAUUACGAAAUUAGAUCUGCACCAGAGGGGUAAUUAACUUCGAUCCAUGUCAUCAUUUGAAAACUAGAUUUAUAGACAUAUGUAUGGGUUUUAGGUGCGCUGUAAAUGGCAUGCAGAUGUAUGCAUAAGAAUCGCAGACUCAUGCACCCUCUACUCUUCAACCAUGCAGACUAAUUAAUGGCAACUCUGACAGAUGUGGAGGGAGGAAAGCUGAGGUGGGAGUACUGCUCAGAGUUACAACUCUAGGAGUAGGGACUCCAAGCCUAGAGCUCCAAGAGGGGGUGAAGGGCAGAGAGAAAAUUAUAGUAAUAGUUGCAAUGAGUCACUUGCUUCUAGAUCAAGAUCAGAGACUCUGCUCUCCGUGUUCACAGCGGACCUUGAUUUAAUGUCAUACAAUUAAGGCACGCGGUGAAUGCCAAGAGCGGAGCCUACGGCUGCACUUGAAGGACAUCAGAGAGAAGUUAGAAAGGGUGGGGAGAAACAAUUGCUGAAUUCUAGAAUGAACCCAUCCUGUGAGACACAAGGAUCCCUCGCAUUGAUUCAAAAUCUUUAGAAUGCAAGACAGUCAAAUGUUUUUCAGCGAGAAUCUGGGAAAUCCGCAUGCAUAUUCCCAAGGGGAAUAUUAGAGGUUUCAUUGACAGCUGUCAGGAGAGCCGUAGUUCCCAUUGGUGCAAAUGGUCUAGCAGUCGGCACUGAGAGAGUGCUGGCCUUUUCAAAAUAAAAUAGAUUAAGAUUGUCCACAAUUCCGGGUCCGGUCGAACUGGGAAAACAAAACGGGUGAGAAGGGUGUAGCAUUAAAGAAACCCCAGACAACACUGAGUAAGAAACCUCAAAUAACUCAAUUAUCAGUGAAAAUAGGACCCCCGCCCCAAGCUUUUCACUAUUCUCCCAGUGGCUACCCAGUCUCAUGGCAGCCUUGUCUGGAUUUAAAAGGCCAAGGCAAAGUGACAAUACCCAAAUCAGUCAAUAUUGCCCAAUAAGAGGUAAAGGCCAAGCCAGGAACUCUAAGCCUUGGUAAAUUAAUUUAUUUGGAAGACCAUGAGGUACUUAGUUCAGGUAGGUUCCAUAACCUCAAAGCCUAAGGAAUCCACCGCUGAGAAAGAGCCUUUGUUCUGUGGUGGCCUGUCUGGCCUGGAACAAAGGAGAGGUUGGAGAAGGACAACCCAAAGUGGCCGCACCCUCCUUGCCUUGCUGACAGGAUCACCUUCCUCUUCCUCUUCCUCCUCCGUAAUCUCCUCCCCCUCCUCUUGUGGUAAUUCUGCAAGCAAGGCAAUAGAAUCAUAGAAUAGCUUCUUCUCUACCCAGCCCCAAACCCCAUGAUGUUAGGUAACGUACAAAUAAAAACCUUGAAACAUGGAAAGACAGUAAACAGCUAAACAGUAUUUUUCUGAAACCAUUCACUCGGACAAUCAGCUGAUUUGGCUGGAAACCCGAGUAGUUAACAAAAUGUGCUAGAGAGAGAGAUUCAAUAGAUUUUUUUCCCCCUUAAAUCACAACCCUGAAAAGAGAAACACACUGUUUUCAGUUGAGGAUCUUAUCUCAGAUAUGGUCACCAAAGACACCUCUCAAAGGACCCUAGAGUGUGCCUCAAAACAUAUUUAAAAGGCUCUGACUGAGGUUGAUUUAGUGACCAGAGCAGGCAGGAGUAGCGCAGCAGCCUGCAACCGCUCUCCUGGCCCUCAGCAAGGCUUUCUGUAGGACUGCUUUCCUUACUGAGUUCUGACCAAGACCCACAGACUGGCAGGGUGAUGGUGCCCAGGAGCUGGCAGUGAGCCUCACUCCUCACAGGAGGUAUUGCAGGCCUAGGAGGCCUGAAUCCCACACUGCAGAGAAAAACCAUACUGCAGAGCACAGCUCAAUAGGGAGGAACAGUAGCUUACCAAAUCCCAUAUAAUGAAGAUUUGCCUUAAGAGUUCUGGGUCAAAUGUGUCUGAAUUAAUGCAUUCAACAUAUAUUUAAAAUUAUCGGCAUUCUAAUUUAAAUACUGAGAGUAUUGUAUAUAAAUAGUAAAACAUUAAGUUCUAUAUUUAGUCAUAUUGCAAGAGUAAUAGACAAUAGAUUGGUUUGUAUUCAGCCGAGGGUCCAGGAAAGAAAAUGUUCUAUGCUUGAAUUUCUUUGUAGAUUCACACCAUAAAUACUGUCAAACAUCAGUCAUAGAUAAACUAAACAAAGUUGUAAAGAGAGAGUGGCAGUGAUUUUUAUCUAGGCAUAGAAAUGGUCCAUAAAUGAACAACGGCCUAAAAAAUAUGUUUUUAUAACAUUUAUUCUCUUCCACCUGAAUGGUCGAAAUGUAGCCAAUGAUUCGGGGAAAAAAUGAGGUGAUUCAGGAAAAAAUGAGGUCAGAAACGAUAUUCUUGGGGGUAUAGUUCCCAUUCACUCCAUUCUGAAAGGUGGCUUUUAGUUUUGUUUUCUGAUUUCUGAUUAAAACUCUGUAAAUUAGGACCUUUAUAUCCCCAAAUUUUAGGUUUGCAUUUGAUUUUACACAAAAGGGAGGGGAUGGCGAUAUCAUACUCUGUUGGGACAAGAGCUAUCUCAAACACAAAGAAACCCCUGGCAUUCUCUUAUUUCCGUUGGGAAAAAAAAAAAAUCACCAGAAAUGGGAAUGGGUUUGAAGCACUGAAGGUUGUCACAGAUGCUCUUCCUUCCAGCAACCAUCUAGUUAUUCUGGUGGUCUCUCCUCACAGUCCCCUGAACUCUUCACAAAGCAAAAGGGGUCUAACAGUCCUGCUUACAUCAAUGUAAUUCAUAUUACAUAAUAAAAACACAGUAAUACUCCCCAACCUAAUCCUACUUGUCUACAGCAGUCCUAAACUCUCACUUCAGAAAGCUUAAUCGGUUAAAAAAAUAUAUUUUCUAAAUAGAAAUGAAACAUGUAAUAUGAAACAAUUUAAAAAGUAAGGGAGCAAGUAGAGGACUUAGUCAUCUGGUUGCUAUGAUUAAAUCCAGUGUGGUUAUUGAUUCAUGGUGUUUAUGUGCUUUUAAAAUUAAUUAUUUUCAAUUUUUUUUAUAAGUAAUCACCCAACUUAAUGUCUAUUACAAAAUUUUCCUGCUAUGAAAUUCUGUGCUCACAGCAGUUUUCCAGCAAAACAACCCAGGUGGACAAUUAGAGAGCUUUGGUGCAGAGGACCAUGGGAGUCCUUUAGCAAUCACAACUUUCAUCUAGUAGUCUGUGAAAUGAGAGCUUCUCGGGAUAAUUUAGGAACAGCUUGACCCGUUGAGACUCUCAGGAUCAACCCUCCUAGAGAAUAGUGUGUUUCUUCCAGUGAGUAAGAUGCUAGCGCAGGGAACCGAGGCAUCUGGUGUCAACAACGCCAGAGCGCCCUCUGCUGCUCCCAACAAGCAGAACACUGGUUUUAGAAGCCAGAUGGUUAAGAGUUUCAAUAAGCCCAGGAACCAGUAAGCUCUUAGGAUCAUUUAAUCUGUGGAAUUUAAGAGCUUCCAUCGGUAUUCUUCCUCCGAAAAGGCUACCCGAUUUUCAUCGGGACCACUCCUAGGACGGUUACAUUCUGAAGCGACAGGUCAUUGUUUGAAGCAGAUUGUCAAUUCUAUUGGUUGUAUUUCUGUGUCCUUUUUUUUUUUUUUUUUUUUUUUUUUUUUUU